This 317-nucleotide unclassified non-coding RNA is filed under the name Coprinellus radians. Its description in RNAcentral is "partial internal transcribed spacer region". The stretch from base 1 to 46 matches the Rfam family "Eukaryotic small subunit ribosomal RNA", at positions 1786 to 1831 of the family's 1831-position model. Lineage: Eukaryota; Fungi; Basidiomycota; Agaricomycetes; Agaricales; Psathyrellaceae. The record is from RNAcentral.
AAGUCGUAACAAGGUUUCCGUAGGUGAACCUGCGGAAGGAUCAUUAACGAAUAACUAUGGUGUCUUGGUUGUAGCUGGCUCCUCGGAGCAAUGUGCACGCCCGCCAUUUUUAUCUUUCCACCUGUGCACCGACUGUAGGUCUGGAUACCUCUCGCCCUUCACGGGGCGGAUGCGAGGAUUGCUCGUAAGGGCUUUCCUCGAAUUUCCAGGCUUUACGUCUUUUUACACACCCCAAUAGUAUGAUGUAGAAUGUAGUCAAUGGGCUUCUUAGCCUAUAAAACACUAUACAACUUUCAGCAACGGAUCUCUUGGCUCUC